AGUGUUAGGAACUGCUGUUUGCA
RNAcentral lists this non-coding RNA (23 nucleotides) under Cricetulus griseus (Chinese hamster). Lineage: Eukaryota; Metazoa; Chordata; Mammalia; Rodentia; Cricetidae. The record is from RNAcentral.